GCUAACUUCGGCAAAACAAAUACUAAAAUUGAAACAAUGCACAGAAGAUUAGCAUGGCCUUUGCAGAAGGCUGACACAUAUAUUUGUAAAUACAUAAAAGAUGCUU
Artibeus jamaicensis (Jamaican fruit-eating bat) is the source of this 106-nucleotide small nuclear RNA. The record is from RefSeq and is a predicted model, not a curated record. Lineage: Eukaryota; Metazoa; Chordata; Mammalia; Chiroptera; Phyllostomidae.